AAAAUCUUUAAUUUUCAUAUACCGCAGAAAAUAAAAAUAUAGAUCCGCAGAAACUCAUGUAACAAUCUCAAACCCAUAUCAUAUGAUGGACCGGCUUAGUGCCGGCCCAUAAUAAGACAACCACUGGACAUCCGGCUCUGACUUUAAACAGACACAUAGCGAAUAUGGCGAUGUAUGAAAAUUUGUUAGCGUUCAAUCCUCGCAGUAAAUAACAUUAUCAUAUAUGUACUACAUGUACAUUUUAUUUUUAUUAAAAAUUUAAUGUCUAAAUUUAAAAGAGCGUUAGCUUUUCUUCGUCGCUAUGUAUUUUCGGAAGCUAAUGGUGCAUUAAUAAUCGUGUAUAAACAAAUCACAUAUGUAUCAACAUGUUUAUUUUGAUUUCAUAUUUAACGUCUUGUAUAAAAAGAAAUCAAAC
This 415-nucleotide long non-coding RNA is filed under the name Mytilus galloprovincialis (Mediterranean mussel). The record is from RNAcentral. Lineage: Eukaryota; Metazoa; Mollusca; Bivalvia; Mytilida; Mytilidae.